RNAcentral lists this ribosomal RNA (482 nucleotides) under uncultured bacterium. Its description in RNAcentral is "partial 16S ribosomal RNA". It matches the Rfam family "Bacterial small subunit ribosomal RNA", at positions 30 to 507 of the family's 1533-position model. The record is from RNAcentral.
AUUGAACGCUGGCGGCAUGCCUUACACAUGCAAGUCGAACGGUAACAGGUCUUCGGAUGCUGACGAGUGGCGAACGGGUGAGUAAUACAUCGGAACGUGCCCGAUCGUGGGGGAUAACGAGGCGAAAGCUUUGCUAAUACCGCAUACGGUCUACGGAUGAAAGCGGGGGAUCUUCGGACCUCGCGCGGACGGAGCGGCCGAUGGCAGAUUAGGUAGUUGGUGGGAUAAAAGCUUACCAAGCCGACGAUCUGUAGCUGGUCUGAGAGGAUGAUCAGCCACACUGGGACUGAGACACGGCCCAGACUCCUACGGGAGGCAGCAGUGGGGAAUUUUGGACAAUAGGCGAAAGCCUGAUCCAGCCAUGCCGCGUGCAGGAUGAAGGCCUUCGGGUUGUAAACUGCUUUUGUACGGAACGAAAAGCCUCUUUCUAAUAAAGAGGGGUCAUGACGGUACCGUAAGAAUAAGCACCGGCUAACUACGUG